GCUUGUCCCAACCCACCCUGUGUGGGCCUGAUCUCAUCUGAUCUUGGAAGCUAAGCAGGGACAGGCCUGGUUAGUGUUUGGAUGGGAGACUGUCUGCAAAUACCAGGUGCUGUAAGCU
RNAcentral lists this ribosomal RNA (118 nucleotides) under Amphilophus citrinellus (Midas cichlid). The record is from RNAcentral. Lineage: Eukaryota; Metazoa; Chordata; Actinopteri; Cichliformes; Cichlidae.